Long non-coding RNA from Tarenaya hassleriana, 1300 nucleotides. RefSeq lists it as uncharacterized. Lineage: Eukaryota; Viridiplantae; Streptophyta; Magnoliopsida; Brassicales; Cleomaceae. The transcript is spliced from 3 exons. The record is from RefSeq and is a predicted model, not a curated record.
ACCGAUCUGGUUUGCCUGCCAAUGUUAGUAAACCAAGAGAAAUAUCUUGUUUUCUCAAAACCGAACCAGAAGCCUCUGACCGAGACAGAGACUUCAUAACUCCGCCAUCUCCAACAAUGUGAUACCUGUCAUUUCUUGGUGUCAUGUGACUCGUGCACCCUAGUUUUUCCGGUUAUUGACAGAGCCUCUGUGACGUCUGUUAUAUGGCUCUCAAUCCGUGGUGUUUUUGUUCUUACCACCAUUGCCUCUCCUUUGUUGUUCAGAUCUCUCUUUCUAGAGUGGCAAUCUUUUUUGUAUUGACCUUUGUUGCCGCUGUUCCGACAGUCAAAUUUGGUUUUCGACUUAGAUCUCGAUCUAAAUUUCUUGUUUCCAUCGUUUUCCCUCUUCUCAAGUCUUCCUCUAGUCGAUAGCGCUUAUGUAGUGUUCAUAGUUCCUUUUCCAUGAGCCAUGAAUUCAAGCUCCUUGGAUCUUAUUGCAGCAUUUACUUCUUCUAGAGUUAUCGAUGUUCCCGAAUAUUUGACAACUUCCCAGAGUUGUUCAUGAGGCGGGGGAAGAGAGAUUAAUAGACAGAUUGCCUGAUAUUCUUCCUCCACCCGAACUUAUAAGUUGCAAAGGUCCGAAAGGAUCCUCUGAAAAAUGUCCAGGUUUUCCUCGAUCGUUUUGCAUCUUUCAACCUUGCUUUCAUAAUUUUGAUUCUUUAUUCCUUCUCAAUAGAUCUGGAAGAGUCUUGACCUUGCGGCACUGUCCUUCUUGCAGCAGAUUUCUUACACAAAUUUGCUCAACCUUUUUCCGAGUAUUCGGAAGUUUUGGAAUCAUCCGCUAGUGUAUUUGAUAAACCCAUCAUCUCAAGUUCAAUCUGGAUCUUCUCUUUCAACAGAACAAAAGUCUCAUCCUGCGAAUUCGAUCUGGGGGUUUCGUCUUCCCUGGCUCGCAACCGGAUCUCCGGUACCACCGCCAAACCCUUCUACGCUUGAACGCUCGCAACGUGGAACCAACCAAAGGAACACGACAUACAAGAACAGCAACUGUUAUAGGCCAAGGCACAGUCAACAAAUUUAAGGUGUCGGACCAAAGACUCAAAUACUCUCAAUAUUUACCACUUAUCGCCGACGAACAACGCAGCCCCCGGUCCGUAUUUUUCCUCGACACCACCACGUCAUCAAGUCUUAUUUCAAUUGUGUAUAUAUUUACGUACAUUAGAGGUAGGCUGUUUAGGCUAAAGGCAUAUGAUUGUGUAGUAGGAUAUGGCCAAUUUUGUAACAUCUUACCUCAUGGUUGUCUUAUUAAAUUAUAGAUCAAU